This 600-nucleotide ribosomal RNA is filed under the name uncultured bacterium. Its description in RNAcentral is "bacterial SSU rRNA". It matches the Rfam family "Bacterial small subunit ribosomal RNA", at positions 730 to 1332 of the family's 1533-position model. The record is from RNAcentral.
GAAGGGGUGAUUGACGCUGAGGCACGAAAGCGUGGGGAUCAAACAGGAUUAGAUACCCUGGUAGUCCACGCAGUAAACGAUGAUAACUAACCGCUGGUUCUUUAGAGGAUCAGUGGCCAAGCGAAAGCGAUAAGUUAUCCACCUGGGGAGUACGACCGCAAGGUUGAAACUCAAAGGAAUUGACGGGGGCCCGCACAAGCGGAGGAACAUGUGGUUUAAUUCGAUGAUACGCGAGGAACCUUACCCGGGCUCGAACGGUACAGGAAGAGAUCAGGAGACUGUGACGUCCUUCGGGACCUGUAUCGAGGUGCUGCAUGGUUGUCGUCAGCUCGUGCCGUGAGGUGUCGGCUCAAGUGCCAUAACGAGCGCAACCCUUGCCGUCAGUUACCAUCAAGUUGCGUUGGGGACUCUGACGGGACUGCCACCGCAAGGUGUGAGGAAGGGGGGGAUGACGUCAAAUCAGCACGGCCCUUACGUCCGGGGCGACACACGUGUUACAAUGGGAGUUACAGAAGGGACCUACCUGGUGACAGGAUGGCAAUCUCCAAAAGCUCUCUCAGUCCGGAUCGGAGUCUGCAACCCGACUCCGUGAAGCGGAUU